Molecule: ribosomal RNA, 1368 nt
Filed under: metagenome
Description: bacterial SSU rRNA
Rfam family: Bacterial small subunit ribosomal RNA
Source: RNAcentral
GGGGGGGGAUAACGAUUCGAAAGGGUCGCUAAUACCGCAUACGUCCUACGGGAGAAAGCAGGGGACCUUCGGGCUUUGCGCUAUCAGAUGAGCCCAGGUCGGAUUAGCUAGUAGGUGGGGUAAAGGCUCACCUAGGCGACGAUCCGUAGCUGGUCUGAGAGGAUGAUCAGCCACACUGGAACUGAGACACGGUCCAGACUCCUACGGGAGGCAGCAGUGGGGAGUAUUGGACAAUGGGCGAAAGCCUGAUCCAGCCAUGCCGCGUGUGUGAAGAAGGCCUUCGGGUUGUAAAGCACUUUAAGCGGGGAGGAAGGGCUUCUGGCUAAUAUCCAGGAGCAUUGACGUUACCCGCAGAAUAAGCACCGGCUAACUCUGUGCCAGCAGCCGCGGUAAUACAGAGGGUGCAAGCGUUAAUCGGAAUUACUGGGCGUAAAGCGCGCGUAGGCGGUUUGUUAAGUCGGAUGUGAAAUCCCCGGGCUCAACCUGGGCACUGCAUCCGAUACUGGCUGACUAGAGUGUGGGAGAGGAAGGUAGAAUUCCAGGUGUAGCGGUGAAAUGCGUAGAGAUCUGGAGGAAUACCGAUGGCGAAGGCAGCCUUCUGGCCUGACACUGACGCUGAGGUGCGAAAGCAUGGGGAGCAAACAGGAUUAGAUACCCUGGUAGUCCAUGCCGUAAACGAUGUCAACUAGCCGUUGGGGACCUUGAGUCUUUAGUGGCGCAGCUAACGCGAUAAGUUGACCGCCUGGGGAGUACGGCCGCAAGGUUAAAACUCAAAUGAAUUGACGGGGGCCCGCACAAGCGGUGGAGUAUGUGGUUUAAUUCGAUGCAACGCGAAGAACCUUACCUGGCCUUGACAUAUCCGGAACCCUGCAGAGAUGCGGGGGUGCCUUCGGGAAUCGGAGUACAGGUGCUGCAUGGCUGUCGUCAGCUCGUGUCGUGAGAUGUUGGGUUAAGUCCCGCAACGAGCGCAACCCUUGUCCUUAGUUGCCAGCACGUAAUGGUGGGAACUCUAGGGAGACUGCCGGUGACAAACCGGAGGAAGGCGGGGACGACGUCAAGUCAUCAUGGCCCUUACGGCCAGGGCUACACACGUACUACAAUGGUCGGUACAAAGGGUUGCUAAGCCGCGAGGCCUCGCUAAUCUCAAAAAACCGAUCGUAGUCCAGAUUGGAGUCUGCAACUCGACUCCAUGAAGUCGGAAUCGCUAGUAAUCGCGGAUCAGAAUGCCGCGGUGGAUACGUUCCCGGGCCUUGUACACACCGCCCGUCACACCAUGGGAGUCUAUUGCACCAGAAGUAGCUAGCUUAACCUUCGGGAGGGCGGUUACCACGGUGUGGUCGAUGACUGGGGUGAAGUCGAAACAAGGUA